This 5645-nucleotide long non-coding RNA is filed under the name Macaca mulatta (Rhesus monkey). RNAcentral describes it as "lncRNA (ENSMMUG00000062916.1)". The record is from RNAcentral. Lineage: Eukaryota; Metazoa; Chordata; Mammalia; Primates; Cercopithecidae.
AGGGACUCGUUGCUCUCAAAGACUAGUCUUUGGUAGCAUGUACUCAGUUAGAAAACUUGUGGAUGAGUUUGUGACACAAUAAAAAGGACAGGGCUUUAGGUGUCAGGAAAAUUGAAUCUUAAGUCAUAUUCUGCCACUGGCUUAUUCUGUGUCUUUGUCUUUAAUAAAACAGUUAUUAAUUCAUGCCAUACAUAUUUAUUGAGCAACUGCUAAGUGUAAGGCCCUAUGCUACAAAAUGAUGUAAAAGAUGAGCAAAAAUUGAAAUAGACACUUGACCUUGGGGAACUGGCCUUAUGAGGUUAAUCUGUGACACACAGCACCCAUAGAUAAUGUGUCUGGCACAUGGCAGAAGCUCAAUACACUGUAUUUUCUUUUCCAUUUCUUAGGACAGAAACUUCACUUUUCUUAUUGUCAAUGUCUUCAUCUAAAAAAUAAAAAUGACAAGGUAUCAGGACUGGCAUCAUGGAGAGGAUGAUUUUCAAGAUUUCUUCUGGUUCCAAACUUCACAUAUUCAUUAAUUCCAGGAUAAUAAUUGGGCACAGAUGCAAUAUUUAAGGUGCUUGUGGUGGGUGUAGCUCUGCAAUAAGAAAAUAAGAAGUUGCUUUUUCUGUUUAAUUUUUACUUCACUGUUCUAUUUUAAUACCAUGAAUUAUAAAUCCAUGCAAUAUGCAAUCCAGUUUACUAGCUUACCUUGUGAAGAAUCCAGUUUGAGACUUGCAUACAAAGUGAACUAUUGCCGAAAACAUUCCAUGAACCAAAUCCACCUCCCGCUGUUGUCUCUUGCAGGUGUCCCAGACUCAAGCUGUGCUCAGCCUUCAUCAGAGACAGGUACAGAUGGAGGCAGUAGCAUAGUAAAACAUCAAAAUCAAGCAUCCAGCAUCUGAAUCCAAACAACACAAAGAACAAGGUAAGAUGCCAACAGAUAAGUACCCAAAACAGAGUUUAUGUUUUCCAAAGGUUUUCAAUUAUAUCCUUAUCACGCUCUGCAACUUCAUUUGCUGUCCCCAUUAGUUAGUUCCCUAUUGGCUAUGUUUGCAAGGUCAUCAUUUCUUAACAUUAUUUAAAAGCCUUUAACUAUGUAAUCUCUUUGCCUCUGGAGAUAACAAUCCUAGUUUGUGUUAUAAAGAGUAUUGCGUGUUGUUUUCCAUACAGCAUUUUUAGAUCCCUUAUCCCAUUAGGCCUUCAUGACCCUUUGCACCAUGUAGGACACGAAAUUUUGUUUCAGGUGUCCAAAUGAGACUUGGAGAAGCUGAGUGGCUUACAUGAGGCCACAGAAAUGAUAAGGGCCUCAGCUCCUCUUUGCAUCUGUAAACACACCUUAUAUCCUAAGAACACUCAAGGGGGUUCUCAGAAAGCUCCUUAAAGUGAUAAGUUCAGAAGAGCAUCCAUGUAAUUAUGGUUCCAUAGAUUGCUCUGGGUUUCUGUAUUUGGGACUGGAAAGAUCUGAGAAGCUCUGACUAAAAUAUGGUCACAUUACAUUUGCUCUGCAUUUUCCUCACUGUGCAACAUGUAGAUAAUAACUGCAUCUGGAAGUAUCCCCCAAAUGAAAUUGCAGCAGCUUGGGGGAUGAUUUAUUGUCAUUGUCACAGUCCUGUCUGAUGGUCUCAGAACCCCAGGAAGGGGUGUUUAGGCCACUAUAGAAGAAAACACUGGAGCCCAGGAAGAGUCAGAAAUUUCCCUUACUGUUUUAGAUUUUCUCACUGCUUAAUGUACUAUGGAAUUAUUUUAGCAUUCAAUAUCUAUCUUAAAGUGAUGUUACUCCAGAGUUGCUCUGAAUGUUAUAGAGGGAGCUAUGAUAAUUGGGCACAUACAGGUAUCAAGUAUUCAGCUUGAUGCUUUAAAUACAUAAUUUAUUUAAUAUUAGUAAAAUUAUAAGGAAGUUUUAUUUGCCUACAAUUUAUGAUAUUAAAAUUGAACCAAGGAGGUGACUAUUUAGUAUAAGUCAAUCAAGUUUAAGAUUAGCAAGGACAAAAUUCUAUUAUAAAAUGUUGCCUAAAAUACAAGUGCUUCUCUCAUAUUAACCAAUAAUGGUUUAUUAAUCAAAUGGCUCUUAAAUCUAACUAUCUAUAUAUUGAAUUUCUUGCCAUUUUUUUCUAUGAAGCAUCCUUUAUUUUCCUACUUCAACUUCAUAGCCAGCAUUUUCAAGGCUCCAAAUUUUAUUGCGACCAAUCAUGUCACCAACCUUUCUCUACAUUAGCAUUUCUUAAUGUUUGAGCUUUAAGCCUAUGAGUCAAUACAAGAAUCCAUAAUUAGACGUGUGUUUUCUCCAUCAGUGGACUCUAUUGGUGGAAUAGUUUCAUAUUGGAUUCUGCAAAAAUAUAACAUUUCAAUAUCUACUUUUGAGGUUAUAAUAUUGUAAGCCACAUCCCUAGAUACUUGUUAUAAUUAAAACUUUAGUUUAUUGGACUCCUAUGUGUUUUCUAACAUUAGGUGAUGUAAUAUUUGCAACAAGCCUACAUGUUAAGCAUUGUUCACAAUUUACAGGGGGUAACCUCAAAUUCAGAAGAGUUAAAUAAUCAGUCAAAGUUGCAUAGAUAAUAAAUGAUGAGGCUUCCAUCUGAACACAAUUCUGGCCAACUUUGACAUCUAUUGUUGUUCAGUGCUAACUUCAGGUCUUAGAAGCAAGCAAUGUUUUCAUGCAAGGGUGUGUCAGGAUCUUCUUUGUUUUAUACAUAUUAAGUUCUGUUAUAGACCCAAGCUACAGACAGAACUUUAGCUCAGAGGUUUUGAAAUCCCAGAAAAUAUGUCAUGAAACUCAACAUUUUAAUAAUACUAAACUAUUUUUAGUUAAUUCUAUUUUUCAUCAGAAGCAAGAGAUAGUACAAGAGUAGCUGAUGCAAAAUCAAAUUGCCAGCCAAAACAAUUCUAACUUUUCCUAGAUAAGCCUCUGCAAUCAAUAUAUUAUUGAGCCGAGAAAAAAUAUCUAGCAAUGCAGGGAAUGUAAGUUUACAUUAAUGACCAGGGUCUUGGUCCAGCCUGCUUACACUCAAAAUUUAUCUUAGAUACAUUGAAUGAAUGCUUAUUAUGAGAAAAUUGGCUGUUGAGAACAGGAAUCUGCCUCAAAAUGUUAAGAUCUAUUUGUAAGCUUAGCUAACCUUCAUGUAUUUCAAGACAAGCAUAAACUAUAAAUCCUGGAUUAAUAUACAUGUGGUAGAGACAAGAAAAAGUAUGAAAGACAAAGCAAGCUUUUGAUUAUAUAGGGACACAAAUUACUCCAUCCUAGAGUUGGAAAGGACAUUAGAGAUAAGUGGGUCUGACCUUUUAUCAUAUUUUAUACAUUAUAAUGGUAAUAUAUUCCUAGGAAAGAAAACACAAAAACUCUGAAAAGAAAACCAGGAAAAAUAACUCACACCUAGUCCUAACACUCAAACACAAACACAAUAUACUGUGCAGAAUUUUUGUUUUUUCUUUCUAUGAAAAAAUUAUUUUAACACAGUUUAAACCACAUUGUAUAUAGUUUCAUAUAUAUAUAUAUAAAAAUUGUAUAACUAUAUAUAAUUUGUAUAGUUUGUUUUAUUCAAUAGUAUAUCAUAAACAUUAUUCUAUGGGAUUAUAUAGUAUUUCAAAUAAUAGGCCAAGAGAGAUGUCUCAUGCUUGUAAUCCUAGCACUUCAGGAGGCUGAGACAGGAGGAUUGCUUGAAUCCAGCUGUUCAAGCCAGACUGGGCAACAUAGCAAGACUUUGUCUCUACAAAAAAAUAAAAAUAAAGUUAGCCAGGCUUCAUGGUACAUGCCUGUAGUCCCAGCUACAAGGAAGGAUGAGGUGGGAAGAUUGCUUGAGCCCAGGAGUCCAAGAUUUCAGUGAGCCAUGAUUGUACCACUGUACUCCAGCCUGAGUAACAGAGCAAGAAUCUCUCUAAAAAUAAUAGUUAUAAUAAUUUUAAUGUUUAAGUAAUAUUCUACUUGGUGAAAAGAUCAUAGUUUGCUUAGGUAAUCUCUUAGAAUUGGAUGUUUUUACUAUUUCCCAUUUGGGACCAUCAUAUAAAAUUCUACAACAAUCAUUUCCAAAAUCAAGUUUUUAGUUUCUUCAUAUUAAUUUUUAAACUAGGUUCCCAAAUGUGUAAUUACUAAGUAAAUAUAUAUGUAUGUUCAAAUUGCUUUUCAAAUGGUUCUGUUACUCGUAAUGAAAAGAAAAUCUCAUUGUCCACACUUUCACUAGUAUUACAGAACACAAACACACAUACACCUACACAUGCUGUUGCAGGAAUCAGAGGACUGGAGAGACCAAAUGGGUGAAAUAGAAGGAUUUAUUGAGUGCACUUCAGGUCCAGCAGAUUCACAUCCAAAAAGUUGAGCCCUGAACAAACACAGGGUUUCACUUUUAUACAUGCAACCAAGGGGGUUGGCCAUCUAGUGGCAUGAAACUUACAGGGCAGGCAAGCAGGCUUACAGAAACAGAACAAAGGCAGUGAAUCAUACAGUGACAGCUUUUGCAACUUGAGGAAAAACAGGAACUUAUCAAGCUAAGGCAGGGUUUACAGCUGGUACCUGUCUUACUCAAGUAUGUCUUGUGACCUUGUUAUUUUACACGGAAGAGAAACAGGAAUCUGUAAAACUUUGUGAAGUAACCUUGAGUUUCACUAAGGAAGGAUUUACAAAAAUGGAGGGGGAAGCUGGGAGAGGAGAAAAACCUGUUUUCUCGUCCUUGCCUAUAACUGGGAGGAGAGGGGGCUCUGAAGCACAUUCCUUAAGGGCUCUGGUUUUGCAGAUAAUGUUAUGUUAUCAAAUCCUUUUCAGAGCUCUGCUGCCUAUCGCUAGGUUUUGGAGCGAGUCAUCCUAGCAAGAGAAGACUUGUUCUUUUCUUUUACUUGUUCUUUCUUUUUACAUUUUCUGCUUCAUUCCCCCAAUUUGAUGCUUCUUGUAAAUGAAGUUUUAUAGAAAUCAUCAUCAUCAGAAUUUAUCCCUUCAUGAGGCCCUAGUUUCCUAUUCAGCAGGGGUUGAUAUUAGUAGUUUGCCUGGUUACGGGAGCCUCAAUAGCUGACUGCACGUUCUUAACAAGGAGGGGCAAAAGACAAGGAAGUAUGAGGGAGCCCCCUAGUAUGGCCAGAACUAUUCCUACUAAGGUUUUAAAUCCUCCAAGAGAUGGAAACCAGCCCCUAAAGAGUGAAUCUGGAGACCAAGUCUGCCCUGGGACAUGGGCUAAUUUCUGGAUUCUGGCAGCUGUUUGUUUGAUGACUUUUCUAUUGUCAUCAAUCUCUAGACAGCAAUUAGUUAGGUUGAACUUUCUGCAUACUUCUCCUUCUUCAGCUAGGAGGUAGUCUAAGGCCAGUCUAUUUUGGUAGAUGGCAUUUCUCAUUUGUGUAGCUUGCCAGGCUAACAGAUUUAAGACUGUUACAGUAUCAUUAGUAAUUAGCUCAAGUACUGCCUGUAAUUUUAUGAUGCGGUUCAGCAUGUAUAUAGGGGUGCAGUAUCAUCCCCACUUUCCAUCUUCUGUCCAGGUGGCUGGGCCAUAGUAUUAGAUUAUUCUUUCAGGGGACCAUUUAUUGUCUUUCCAAUUCCCUAUGGUUAUACCAUCUCCUAUGGUUAUGCCCCUCUUAUUUUUCCUUUUAGUUACAUCAUAGAUGGGGUACCCUGAGACUUCCCCUUGCCUUAGCGGGAUUAGAAAGAAAGAGGGCUUAAUUGUUCUGAGUACACAGGCCCUUGACCA